CACGGCCGAUCGCCUUGAGUUGAUCAUGGCUCAGAAUAACGCUGGCGGCGUGCCUAACACAUGCAAGUCGAACGCGAAAGCCCCGCAAGGGGUGAGUAGAGUGGCAAACGGGUGAGUAACACGUGGGUGACCUGCCUUCGAGUGGGGGAUAACGUCCCGAAAGGGACGCUAAUACCGCAUGACAUCCUGCCUUUGGAAAGGCGGAGAUCAAAGCUGGGGAUCGUAAGACCUGGCGCUUGAAGAGGGGCCCGCGCCUGAUUAGCUAGUUGGUGAGGUAACGGCUCACCAAGGCGACGAUCAGUAUCCGGCCUGAGAGGGCGGACGGACACACUGGGACUGAGACACGGCCCAGACUCCUACGGGAGGCAGCAGUGGGGAAUUGUUCGCAAUGGGCGCAAGCCUGACGACGCAACGCCGCGUGGAGGACGAAGAUCUUCGGGUCGUAAACUCCUGUCGAGUGGGAAGAAUGGAUCGGGGCUGAAUACGUCCCGGUAUUGACGGUACCACUAAAGGAAGCCCCGGCUAACUCCGUGCCAGCAGCCGCGGUAAUACGGGGGGGGCAAGCGUUGUUCGGAAUUACUGGGCGUAAAGGGCUCGUAGGCGGCCAACUAAGUCAGACGUGAAAUCCCCAGGCUCAACUUGGGAACUGCGUCUGAUACUGGAUGGCUUGAAUUCGGGAGAGGGAUGCAGAAUUCCAGGUGUAGCGGUGAAAUGCGUAGAUAUCUGGAGGAAUACCGGUGGCGAAGGCGGCAUCCUGGACCGGCAU
RNAcentral lists this ribosomal RNA (766 nucleotides) under uncultured bacterium. RNAcentral's name for it is "bacterial SSU rRNA". It matches the Rfam family "Bacterial small subunit ribosomal RNA", at positions 1 to 740 of the family's 1533-position model. The record is from RNAcentral.